Molecule: small nucleolar RNA, 67 nt
Filed under: Monopterus albus (swamp eel)
Lineage: Eukaryota; Metazoa; Chordata; Actinopteri; Synbranchiformes; Synbranchidae
Description: Small nucleolar RNA SNORD30 (ENSMALG00000018719.1)
Rfam family: Small nucleolar RNA SNORD30
About the family: U30 is a member of the C/D class of snoRNA which contain the C (UGAUGA) and D (CUGA) box motifs. U30 is encoded within the U22 snoRNA host gene (UHG) in mammals and is thought to act as a 2'-O-ribose methylation guide for ribosomal RNA.
Source: RNAcentral
GAAAAUGAUGAUUUAUUUGGAAUCUCGUUCGUCUGAACAGCUGUUGAGAAUGGAAUAUCUGAGGUCA